RNAcentral lists this non-coding RNA (259 nucleotides) under Secundilactobacillus silagei. RNAcentral describes it as "Lactobacillus silagei T-box sequence". It matches the Rfam family "T-box leader". From Rfam's summary of the family: Uncharged tRNA acts as the effector for transcription antitermination of genes in the T-box leader family. Lineage: Bacteria; Bacillati; Bacillota; Bacilli; Lactobacillales; Lactobacillaceae. The record is from RNAcentral.
AAAUAAGUUGUGAUUAGAAAAAGUAGUUGGCUACCAAUGUGAAGAGAGCCUGGGUUGAUGGAAACCGGGUGAUUGGGACAACGAAACACCUCUAUGAACUGAUCGGCUGAAUCAAGUAAGUCGCUCCGCAUGUUUAGCGUUAUCAGGGUUACCUUAACUGUUCUUGGACUGUGCCCAACGACUAGUUACUGGCAACGUAAGGCCGUCAUCGUGAGGUGGCGACAAAAUGAGGUGGAACCGCGAUCUAAUCGUCCUCGUA